Long non-coding RNA from Homo sapiens (human), 1856 nucleotides. Ensembl annotates it as long intergenic non-protein coding RNA 1128. NCBI's taxonomy places the organism in Eukaryota, Metazoa, Chordata, Mammalia, Primates, Hominidae. The record is from Ensembl.
CGACCUCCCGCCCCCGCUGCGCGCGUUUCUGGCCCUGCCAGUGUCUCCGCCGGUUGAAAGCGCGUGUCUGCGUCGGGUUCUGUUGGAGUGCGUUCGGUGCGCCGUGGGUCCGCGCUGCUUCCACCCAACUUCCUGUUAGUUUCUCUCCUGUCACAAUGGCAUGAUCUCGGCUCACUGCGACCUCUGCUUCCUGGGUUCAAGGAUUCUCCUGCCUCAGCCUCCCAAGUAGCUGGGAUUACAGUUUCCAUCAUUAUCUUCUAUGGAGUUCUUCAUUCCCACAUCUGUGGACCUUAAAAUCCUACCGUUGAGUGCCUGCCUUGGAUCAGCAGUCAGUUCGUUACCUUGGUUCUCAGACGAUGCUUGCAACAACGCCAUGCGAUUCGCCCACUCUUGGUAGGCAGAGAAGCCUUCAGAGAAGGAUCCUGACUCGGUGGUUUGUGCAGUGACAUUUGGCAGUGUUUUCUCGGCAAGCGAGUCUUUGAGGCUGCCCUCAUGCUGCUCAGUGGGCACACCAAGAACAAGAGCUGGCCAGGGAUGACGGACGCAUCUAGGCCUUCUCGGCCUAAGGGUUACAUUAGUUAUACACUCUGGAGGUGACUUGACCUGUCAUUGUGAACAAUUAUUGCUCUUGGACGACCCAGGACAUAGGCCAGCCAGUACGUACCCCAGUGUGUUGGAGAAUCGCGCUCGGCUUCUUCCUCUGUGCUGAGUCAUGAAAGUUGCCGGAGCAGGUGCAGUUACACAACCUCCAGGUAUGAUCCUGUUUAAGGACUGGAUUUAGGAUAACUACUUAGAGGUUAAAAGUCACAAGGGUGUAUGGAUGAGGCUGGAGUGAUCUGGGACCAAAGACAUCUAGGCUUGCUGUCAAGGCUUCUGAUCAACAUGAGAUGACCGCCGUGUGGUAAACUGAUGAACCCUGACCCUGAUCAACAUGAGAUGACCGCCGUGUGGUAAACUGAUGAACCCCGACCCUGAUGAACGUGAGAUGACCGCCGUGUGGUAAACUGAUGAACCCCGACCCUGAUGAACGUGAGAUGACCGCCGUGUGGUAAACUGAUGAACCCCGACCCUGAUGAACGUGAGAUGACCGCCGUGUGGUAAACUGAUGAACCCCGACCCUGAUGAACGUGAGAUGACCGCCGUGUGGUAAACUGAUGAACCCCGACCCUGAUCAACGUGAGAUGACCGCCGUGUGGUAAACUGAUGAACCCCGACCCUGAUGAACAUGAGAUGACCGCCGUGUGGUAAACUGAUGAACCCCGACCCUGAUCAACAUGAGAUGACCGCCGUGUGGUAAACUGAUGAACCCCGACCCUGAUCAACAUGAGAUGACUGCCGUGUGGUAAACUGAUGAACCCUGACCCAUUAGGCUUUGGCUACAGAAUGUGGAAAUAAGUUGUGUUACUACAUGUGUGUAAUCCUAGGGUGCAGGACACCGGCCGGGAGGUUCCAUAGAGUGAUGGGUUCUGCAGGUAACUCAUCCUCUAGUCCUCUGUAAGCUCCUAGAAGGAAGAAAUUAUGUCCUUUAGACUAAUAAAAUUCCUCCAAACCAAAUACAGCACCUACUGUGAAGACACAAAGAUACUUUUAGAAUAGUAAAAACUUUAUCCAUUGAGAAAUUCCUUAAUGAAACAGUAUCCAAGAAGUCAUUUGCCAGCAGAUUUCUUAGAGGUGCGAUAAAGAAGAGGACAUUGCCAGUCGUCACAGCAGCUGCAAUAGCUCCUCUCUAUUGUUAAACAGUGGGAUAUCUUGUGCAGGUUUUCAGUUGACAAUCAAUUUUAAAGAUUAGUUUCGGUCCCCAUCAAUCAAUUAUUUAUUAACCCAUCAAUAAAAAUUUAAAUGCUCUGUGAGGUACA